AUAGAUAAGCAAGCCCACCAUGGUGUCACAUGCCUAUAGUUCCUGCUACUUGGGAGGCUGAGGUGGGAGGAUCACUUGAGCCUGGGAGGUUGAGGCUGCAGUGAACUGUGAUUGUGACACCGCACUCCAGCCUGGGCGACAGAAUGAGACCCUGUCUCAAAACAAAACAACUCCCCACCCCCAACAAAAAACCAAUGAUUCUAAUUUCACUGCAAACCUUUACACACACACACACACGCACGCACGCACACACCCCAGAAACAGGAGUGCAUGCAGGACAUGUGGAGGGGACAGGCGUAAGUUGGGGAACGAUAGCUGGGUGGCGUUGUGCUGUUUUAUUUUUGUUGUUAUCUCAAUGAGAACAUCAGAGAUAACCAGGCUCAUCUAUUUAUAUAUUGACCCAGGAGUUUCUAGCUAAAAACAGUUAAAAGAUAAUUUUUAAAACAAUCAUAACUUUCGGGAGGCUGAGGCAGGAGAAUGGCGUGAACCCGGGAGGAGGAGGUUGCAGUGAGCCGAGAUCGCGCCAUUGCACUCCAGCCUGGGCGACAGAGCGAGAGUCUGUCUCAAAAAAACAAAAAACAUAGCUUUCAUACAGGUAUAAAAUAAACACAGUGUAUUCAUUUUACUUAACUCAGAUGCUAUAACUGGUUCAAAGGACAAUCUGAAGAACACAUUUAUAGAUGAGAAAUACUAAAAUAAACUUGCGAAUGGACAAAAAAGUUGGCUUUCCUACAAGGUAGGGAGCAUUCCCUCUACCAGACAGAAUUCAUUUCCUGCCCAUAGACAGGCGCGUUUGCAUCGCCAGCAGCUCUUUACAACUUACGAAGCUGUAAAACAGCUCCUAAGCAAUGAAGGCUGCAAGCAGAUAAGCUGGCAGGCUGUGAGCAGGCCUCAAAUGGAGUUUUUCAAUGAAGCACGAAUGUUCCCCGACAGAACCCAAGAUGUCUCUUUAAAAGAAAUCAUGAAAGAAAAGGUGAUUAAGUGGAGCUUAUGGGCUGCUCCAGGGUUAAGUGGCCUCCAAAAUAAACAGGACUGCUCCAUAGUCAGAGUGAAUUUUGGGUGGGGUUUGAGAGAGUUCCUGCUUUCCUCUGCUAAUGGCGACAUAAAAUGACCAUUUCAUACCCAUGGAUAUACACUGAUGUGUACAUGUAAGUUGCGGAGGCAGUGGCAGAAGCCAGAGGACUUUCUCUGCCAUGAGCUUCUCCUAGGAGCCCUGGGUUGCAGAGGGUGAGGACUGCCAGGCAAGUGUGUCAGUUAAGGCCGAAGGGACAUUAGCUUUGCUUUAAAACACAUUGCCUGUGCUUGCGUUCGUGUCUUCAUCUGAUUUAAUGGGUUUUAGCUCAGACUCUCCAAAUCUAUUUACCUACAAGUCCUUUAAGGCAGACUGUGUUGUUGACAAAGCUAAGCAGAACAGAAUGUCCCCGCGGCUUCUAGCUUCAAGGAAUCCCAGCUAUUUAUCCAUCACCAAGAAGGGAAGCCCCACGGGUGGUUGACGGUUCAUUGACUCCAGCCCAGGGUGUUGGAUUUCAAUUAGUGCAUUUGCUUUUCCCUCUAGGUAGAGCUCACCCUUUAAAGUCACUUCUUGGCUCUCUAACAGUUUUAAGAUGCACUUUCCCAUCUCAACAACAAUACAGGACGUGUCUUACAGGGCUGUAGUUCUCACUCACAGCGUUCUUCCUCUGAGCGGCCCAGGAAACACUGGCAGGCCUUACAGUCAAGGCACCUUAGAUUUAAAGUAUGGAGUAAGCGAAACCUUCCUAACUGGUAAAGCACUCAGUAAUGCAAAUUCUGGGUGCAACUCAGUGGUUCUUAGUCUAGUCAGAGUUAUGCAAUCAUCAGCACAAUCUACUCACACCCCCCUCAAGGUAUGACAUAAAUAUUUCUGAAUCCACAAUGCGGACAAUCUCAUUAAUAACUUUAUUGAAUCCUGUAGCCCAGCACUCGGGGUCCUCUAAAACCCCACCCCGCCUUCCCCUCCAAUCACAGUGCCCACUGUCUCUUUUAAAUAGACUCUGUCCUCAUCAAGCCUGUUCUCUGUCCCCCAAAUACGCCAUAGCAUUCCUUAAUGCACGCCUUUUUUCCCCCAGUUCCCUACAAUCUUAUAAUUAGUGGUGACACUAAUCUAUAUGUGUUAAAACUCAUAGAAUUGUAUACAAAACAGUCAAUUGUACUUUGUACAUACAUUUAAAAGAUAAAAUGUGUUCUUUUAACGCU
RNA transcript from Rhinopithecus roxellana (golden snub-nosed monkey), 2214 nucleotides. RefSeq lists it as uncharacterized. The transcript has a single exon. The record is from RefSeq and is a predicted model, not a curated record. Lineage: Eukaryota; Metazoa; Chordata; Mammalia; Primates; Cercopithecidae.